UCGCUUCUACCGAUGAAUGAUCCGGUGAACACUUUGGACUCGUGAUCUUCUAGGUUAAUAGCCUUUGACUAUCGGGGAAGUUGUGUAAACCUUAUCAUUUAGAGGAAGAAG
RNAcentral lists this ribosomal RNA (111 nucleotides) under uncultured eukaryote. Its description in RNAcentral is "partial small subunit ribosomal RNA". It matches the Rfam family "Eukaryotic small subunit ribosomal RNA", at positions 1676 to 1785 of the family's 1831-position model. The record is from RNAcentral.